CCUACGGGUGGCUGCAGUGGGGAAUAUUGGACAAUGGGGGCAACCCUGAUCCAGCCAUGCCGCGUGUGUGAAGAAGGCCCUCGGGUUGUAAAGCACUUUCAGUGAGGAAGAACGCCUGGUGGUUAAUACCCAUCAGGAAAGACAUCACUCACAGAAGAAGCACCGGCUAACUCCGUGCCAGCAGCCGCGGUAAUACGGAGGGUGCGAGCGUUAAUCGGAAUUACUGGGCGUAAAGCGCGCGUAGGUGGCUUGAUAAGCCGGUUGUGAAAGCCCCGGGCUCAACCUGGGAACGGCAUCCGGAACUGUCAAGCUAGAGUGCAGGAGAGGAAGGUAGAAUUCCCGGUGUAGCGGUGAAAUGCGUAGAGAUCGGGAGGAAUACCAGUGACGAAGGCGGCCUUCUGGACUGACACUGACACUGAGGUGCGAAAGCGUGGGUAGCAAACAGGAUUAGAUACCCUAGUAGUC
RNAcentral lists this ribosomal RNA (465 nucleotides) under Vreelandella stevensii. Its description in RNAcentral is "partial 16S ribosomal RNA". It matches the Rfam family "Bacterial small subunit ribosomal RNA", at positions 338 to 795 of the family's 1533-position model. Lineage: Bacteria; Pseudomonadati; Pseudomonadota; Gammaproteobacteria; Oceanospirillales; Halomonadaceae. The record is from RNAcentral.